This 429-nucleotide ribosomal RNA is filed under the name uncultured bacterium. RNAcentral's name for it is "bacterial SSU rRNA". It matches the Rfam family "Bacterial small subunit ribosomal RNA", at positions 30 to 459 of the family's 1533-position model. The record is from RNAcentral.
AUUGAACGCUGGCGGAAUGCUUUACACAUGCAAGUCGAACGGCAGCACGGACUUCGGUCUGGUGGCGAGUGGCGAACGGGUGAGUAAUAUAUCGGAACGUAUCCAAUAAUGGGGGAUAACUAAUCGAAAGGUUGGCUAAUACCGCAUACGCCCUACGGGGGAAAGCUAGGGAUCUUCGGACCUGGCGUUAAUGGAGCGGCCGAUAUCUGAUUAGCUAGUUGGUGGGGUAAAGGCCCACCAAGGCGACGAUCAGUAGCUGGUCUGAGAGGACGACCAGCCACACUGGAACUGAGACACGGUCCAGACUCCUACGGGAGGCAGCAGUGGGGAAUUUUGGACAAUGGGCGCAAGCCUGAUCCAGCCAUUCCGCGUGAGUGAAGAAGGCCUUCGGGUUGUAAAGCUCUUUCGCAAGGGAAGAAAACUUAUCCU